Molecule: transfer RNA, 72 nt
Filed under: Camelus bactrianus (Bactrian camel)
Lineage: Eukaryota; Metazoa; Chordata; Mammalia; Artiodactyla; Camelidae
Also listed under: 1 other name
Rfam family: tRNA
About the family: Transfer RNA (tRNA) molecules are approximately 80 nucleotides in length. Their secondary structure includes four short double-helical elements and three loops (D, anti-codon, and T loops). Further hydrogen bonds mediate the characteristic L-shaped molecular structure. tRNAs have two regions of fundamental functional importance: the anti-codon, which is responsible for specific mRNA codon recognition, and the 3' end, to which the tRNAs corresponding amino acid is attached (by aminoacyl-tRNA synthetases). tRNAs cope with the degeneracy of the genetic code in two manners: having more than one tRNA (with a specific anti-codon) for a particular amino acid; and 'wobble' base-pairing, i.e. permitting non-standard base-pairing at the 3rd anti-codon position.
Source: Rfam by way of RNAcentral
GAAAGUGGAGCUCAGUGGUAGAGUGCAUGUUUAAUAUGCAUGAGGUCCUGGGUUCAAUCCCCAGUACCUUCA